CUAAGGCCCCCGGCCGGUCCCAGAGUGUGUCGGGCGGCCGGACGCCUGGCCGUCCACAGGUUGCGUCCCCAGCUCCUCCUCCCGGCUCCGCCCCGCCCAGCCCGGGUGGCGGGAAGCAGGGAGGAGAAAUGGCGGGCAGCCUUCCCCAGACUCAUCGGAACAGGAACCUGCUCCUGCAGAGCAGCCUGCAGGACCGGCCCACACCACGGGCAAGGCCCUGGACUAACACCCCGUCCUGGGCGCUGCACCGGUUGGCUCUCUGCUGUGUGGCGUCUAAGCCACUCCCCGGCCCAGCCUGGACCACAGCCUCCCAGGCUGCCUGUCAGAGUUGUCCUGGCCCUGGGGGACAGGUCAGGCUAGUUCCUGGCCCCUCCUACCUGGAAACUGUUCCAUCCAGCACCAUCCAAGCUUGGGCCUGAAGGGGGUGCAGGGUCACUUAGGCCUGAAGGGAAGCCAGACAGAGGUCACACAGCCGGAAAGAGGCAGAAUCGGACUUGGACAGCGCGGCCUAAUUACUGGAGUCUGAAACUCUACCACUUAACUGUGUGACAACUUCCCCAAGCCUCCUCUGUGA
This is a long non-coding RNA of Manis javanica (Malayan pangolin), 574 nucleotides long. RefSeq lists it as uncharacterized. Lineage: Eukaryota; Metazoa; Chordata; Mammalia; Pholidota; Manidae. The record is from RefSeq and is a predicted model, not a curated record.